ACAAUUGAGUGAAAUAUGGGAAGAAACCUUCUCCUCACACCUACCCUUUCUUCAUUCUCUUCUGCUCUGCAGGGGCUUCCACCGGCACCCUUAGAUUUUCCUUUUUCAUUCCUUAGAUGGAGGCAGCGUUAAUUUAGGAUGCAAAGCAUCUGCAGAGGAAAAGAUUUAUGCCUCCACUGCUCACACAUGAUGGUCCUGAUCCAGAGAGGAACCUCUCAUGCUUGCUUCUAAGUUAAAAAUCAAGGGAGACUCAGUUGCUCAGAGAAUCUUUUGGGGCUAAUCCAAUUGUUAAUCCCAGAUGAGUCAGACCCAUGUAAAUCCCACUGAUUCCGUGGCUGAACUCAAGUAACAAGUUACAACUAGAGUAGACCUAUUGAAUCAGUGGAAUUUACAGAGGAGCUGGCUCAGCAAUUUCCCACUGAUUCAGUGAGCCUACUCUAUUUGUGAUUUUUCCUGGAUUUCAGCUAUUGCAUCUAUGCUGGCUUCAGCAAGCAAUGGGAUUUAGCCCUUAAAAUGUAGUUUAAUUGGUAGAGCACAUGCUUUGUAUCUUUAAUCUCUGAUAUCAAAGGAACACUCAUGAAAUCAUGGAGUGAGCCAUUGCCUACCAGUGUGAGCAAUACUGAGCUGGAUUGGGAAAUGGUCUGCCUCUGUCUGUCCCAAAUGGACCCACCAGCCAGUUUCCAAUUAAGAACACAUAAAACAAUGAAGCACAGGAGAAACCUCAACAGCAGCUCAACAGAACGAAAUGGAGCAGUAAACGAUGAAGCCAUGAAGAGCCAGGUUAGAUCACUGAAUGUUCUAAAAUAGCUGAAGUUACCUCUUUGCUGCUCUCAUUUUACAUUUUGCUUUCAAAAUAUACAGAGGAGCACAAGAAUGAUGCCAGCUGAAGGUGUGCCCUCUUGCAUCUUCUCAUUGCGACCUUAGGUGCAGGCAAAGAUCAUUCUGACAGAUGGUAAGAA
RNAcentral lists this long non-coding RNA (959 nucleotides) under Pogona vitticeps (central bearded dragon). RNAcentral describes it as "lncRNA (ENSPVIG00000010922.1)". The record is from RNAcentral. Lineage: Eukaryota; Metazoa; Chordata; Lepidosauria; Squamata; Agamidae.